CACAUAUAUACAUUCCUUUUUAUAUUCUUUUCCAUUAUGGUUUAUCAAGUAUAUUAAAUAUAGUUCCCCAUGCUAUACAGUGUUAUUAUUAUUAAAUUUUUGUAGGAAAUGACCAAGUGCACUCCUGGACACUCGUCACCAGCCAAGCCUUAGAUACCGCGUGGAGAGUAGGAAAGGGGUCAGUGACACUGGCAGUUUCAUUUCUGGUGGGCACCCUCUGCUACUUCAGAAGGCUACAUUUAUAUUUAGGGCACCGGCUGAAAAGGUGGAUUGGAUAUCUGCAGAGGAGAUUCAAAAGGAACGUCAGUGUGGAGGCAGAAGUUGAUUUACUCAGUUAUUGUGCAAGAGAAUGGAAAGGAGAGACACCCCAUGCCAAGCUGAUGAGGAAGGUGUGUCUGUUUAUACAGCUCGUGGUGGGUGGAGAAUUUGUGUGUAAAAAUCGGGAAACACGCAUUCCAUUCUGCUUUACGAAAUGUGGCACCAAGAACAACUGUGGCUCUAAUUAAAAGCCAAAGAGCUGCUAGACAUUGCCU
Molecule: long non-coding RNA, 533 nt
Organism: Aethalodelphis obliquidens (Pacific white-sided dolphin)
Lineage: Eukaryota; Metazoa; Chordata; Mammalia; Artiodactyla; Delphinidae
Exons: 3
Source: RefSeq, a predicted model, not a curated record